CCAACGUGGGUAUCCUGGCUAGAUGACUCCAGGCUCUGUCCAAGUGGCGAAAGGGAGUGUAGGGCCUUGCCCUGUGACAUACAGUCCCAUUCCACAACGUUGGAUAUCAAGCUGGGCCUUGUGUCUGCACCUGCAUAUUCCUAAACCUUCUCAGNNNNNNNNNNCAAGCUGGGCCUUGUGUCUGCACCUGCAUAUUCCUAAACCUUCUCAGCGUCUUUGGACUGUGACUGAGGAGACAAACCAUGCAGGAAACAGUG
This 257-nucleotide small nucleolar RNA is filed under the name Vombatus ursinus (common wombat). Its description in RNAcentral is "Small nucleolar RNA SNORA73 family (ENSVURG00010019030.1)". It matches the Rfam family "Small nucleolar RNA SNORA73 family". From Rfam's summary of the family: U17 (SNORA73A and SNORA73B) also known as E1 belongs to the H/ACA class of small nucleolar RNAs (snoRNAs). Vertebrate U17 is intron-encoded and ranges in length from 200-230 nucleotides, longer than most snoRNAs. It is one of the most abundant snoRNAs in human cells and is essential for the cleavage of pre-rRNA within the 5' external transcribed spacer (ETS). Lineage: Eukaryota; Metazoa; Chordata; Mammalia; Diprotodontia; Vombatidae. The record is from Rfam by way of RNAcentral.